CCCUGCAGAAAAAGACAGAGGCUAAAAUCUCUAUAUGUAACAAUGCCUAGUAUUGUGUUGAAAUGUGAUUAUGUGUAUUCUAUUUUAACUAGGGUUUUUCUUGUUAAUCACAAUAAAUAACCAAAGUUCAAUAGAUAAUUGCUAUGAAUUGCAUUUUAAUCAUAUUUUUCUUUCACAUAAUUCACAUAUGUCCAUAUUUAUGUCGAUAUCCUUACAAAUCAGUUUGAUUCAUUGGGUCACAGGCUUUUUACCAUAAAAAUCUUAUUAUAUGUUUUUAUCAUUCUCAUUAUGUAUUCUCUGUUAGUUCUGACUGGUGUUUUUUCUUUGUUUUACGAGUGCCUCCAAAGGUGCUUUUUGGUCCAGCCCUCGUUUCUUUUUACACACCACCGGUUACAUACAAACUGAGCUCCUCCAGAGAGUCUGUGACAGACUGAAGCAGCUUGUCCCGGAGAAACGGCCCAGCCUGGGCCAGGAGCGGAACCAGAACUUUGAGGAUCUGCCGACUCUGACGGAGCUGAGAGUUGUCUUUGGUCACCAGUGACUCGUUGAUAUACUCUAAGAUCGUCACGACAACAGCAGCGUAACAUUUGCUGGUUUCCGUGUGGACUUCUGGUAGAUCUGUCUCAGUGAUGCGGGCGUGUGACAUCAUGUCAUCAUGUUCCAUAUGUACGCCGUUGCGUCUUGUGGGAAACGCUGGCUGAAAGAAGAGCAGGAUGUGGGCCAGUAGCUGAUUUGCAGCGGAGACGACAAAUAGACUGGAGUCAGUUUGGAGUUGGAGCAGCUCUGGAAUUAAAUCUGCAGAAUUGAACAGAAAAAAAACACAAGUCAAAAUGACUUUAAUGUAACGUCCAACACUUUGUAACUGUGUUGUUAUUGCGUCCCCUGCGUUGUUAUUGCGUUACUUCUCUUUAACCAAUAUCAAGUGUACAGAGAGAAGUGUAUGUCCCUCACAAAGAGUCACCUGCUUGCACAAAGAAACGGAGAGCCUCCAAGUGCUGCAGCAUCUUCCUCAAACCCUGGAUCCAACCAAUCCGAACACAAGGAUCCUCCCAAAGUCCUGCUCUGUGCCAGUGUUGAUGGUUAAAGGCAAGGUCCAGAAUGGAGUGUGCCUACAGAGGGGACAUCACCUGAGUCAGAACCUUUACUAAGAAUUACAAUGAAUUAGAAUUGUUAAGAACAAGGUGUCAGGAUUCUACCUGAAGCAUUUUGAAGGCAUCUUCAGCUGCAGCUACUAAGCCGCAGACUUUGAGCACAAAAGAGAUGACACUGGGGUCCGAUGACGGUUUGUGAACCACAGCUGAUAUGAAUUCGAGUAGACAUGGGUGGGCCUCCAGCAGAGCUCCACCUUCACCUGAAGAGAAAAAAGAGACAUGAUAGAAGAGGAUCUUCAGAAGAUCCAGGCCAGGGAGAUGUCUCUGGCUUGAACAUGCAGGAAGUAGUUACUGAGUAACAUUAUGUAUGAAACAAAACAAUUAGACUGGGGCCACAAAGUGAGUGUGAGAGAAAAUCAUAGAGAUGGGAACCGGUAUCGGUCAAUGUCAGUAUCGUUCUGUUACUGGAUGUUACAUCCCAGCUCGUUAAAAUCACUGGAUCGGAUAUCGGACAGAUAAAGAUGUAGAAUCUGCUACAAUCCGAAGAUUCAAUAUAUCGCAUGCAGCACUAUUCACAGACUGUAAAAAUUAAAAUAAAAGUCAGCAAAACCA
Long non-coding RNA from Solea senegalensis (Senegalese sole), 1703 nucleotides. RefSeq lists it as uncharacterized. The record is from RefSeq and is a predicted model, not a curated record. The transcript has 2 exons. Lineage: Eukaryota; Metazoa; Chordata; Actinopteri; Pleuronectiformes; Soleidae.